This 492-nucleotide ribosomal RNA is filed under the name uncultured bacterium. Its description in RNAcentral is "partial 16S ribosomal RNA". It matches the Rfam family "Bacterial small subunit ribosomal RNA", at positions 29 to 507 of the family's 1533-position model. The record is from RNAcentral.
AGUGAACGCUGGCGGUAGGCCUAACACAUGCAAGUCGAACGGCAGCACAGUAAGAGCUUGCUCUUACGGGUGGCGAGUGGCGGACGGGUGAGGAAUACAUCGGAAUCUACUUUUUCGUGGGGGAUAACGUAGGGAAACUUACGCUAAUACCGCAUACGACCUACGGGUGAAAGCAUGGGAUCUUCGGACCUUGCGCGAUUGAAUGCGCCGAUGUCGGAUUAGCUAGUUGGCGGGGUAAAGGCCCACCAAGGCGACGAUCCGUAGCUGGUCUGAGAGGAUGAUCAGCCACACUGGAACGGAGACACGGUCCAGACUCCUACGGGAGGCAGCAGUGGGGAAUAUUGGACAAUGGGCGCAAGCCUGAUCCAGCCAUACCGCGUGGGUGAAGAAGGCCUUCGGGUUGUAAAGCCCUUUUGUUGGGAAAGAAAAGCAGCAGGUUAAUACCCCGCUGUUCUGACGGUACCCAAAGAAUAAGCACCGGCUAACUUCGUG